AUUGAACGCUGGCGGAAUGCUUUACACAUGCAAGUCGAACGGCAGCACGGACUUCGGUCUGGUGGCGAGUGGCGAACGGGUGAGUAAUGUAUCGGAACGUGCCCAGUCGUGGGGGAUAACGUAGUGAAAAUUACGCUAAUACCGCAUACGAUCUAUGGAUGAAAGCGGGGGAUCGCAAGACCUCGCGCGAUUGGAGCGGCCGAUAUCAGAUUAGGUAGUUGGUGGGGUAAAGGCCCACCAAGCCAACGAUCUGUAGCUGGUCUGAGAGGACGACCAGCCACACUGGAACUGGGACACGGUCCAGACUCCUACGGGAGGCAGCAGUGGGGAAUUUUGGAAAAUGGGCGAAAGCCGGCUCCAGGCAUUCCGCGUGCAGGAUGAAGGCCCUCGGGUUGUAAACUGCUUUUGUACAGAACGAAAAGGUUUCUACUAAUACUAGGAGCUCAUGACGGUACUGUAAGAAUAAGCACCGGCUAACUACGUGCCAGCCGCCGCGGUAA
RNAcentral lists this ribosomal RNA (500 nucleotides) under uncultured bacterium. RNAcentral describes it as "partial 16S ribosomal RNA". It matches the Rfam family "Bacterial small subunit ribosomal RNA", at positions 30 to 523 of the family's 1533-position model. The record is from RNAcentral.